This 693-nucleotide ribosomal RNA is filed under the name Panagrellus sp. JU3343. Its description in RNAcentral is "LSU rRNA". It matches the Rfam family "Eukaryotic large subunit ribosomal RNA", at positions 393 to 947 of the family's 3401-position model. Lineage: Eukaryota; Metazoa; Nematoda; Chromadorea; Rhabditida; Panagrolaimidae. The record is from RNAcentral.
UAGUACGUGAAACUGGUUAGGUGGAAUCGGAUAGAGCAAUCGAAAGAUGGUUACAAUGAGUUGAUCGGGUGUUGGCUUCGGCUCAGCGCUCGGUUGAUGCACUUGUGACUCGUUGCGCUGGCACGGCUGAUGGUGCCGUUGGAAGUGGGCCUAGAGGAGCUGCUCUUCGGAGGGGCAAACCUGAGCUCAUGGAAAACGAGUUGCUGUUAGUCGGAGUUGCGUUUGCGCGGUAUCGCGGUGAGUGCGCUAUGAACGUUGUUGUCGGGUUGGUGUCUUCGCGUGCGAGGGCCCUUUUCGAUGGCGCCGCUCAUGGUGUUAUGAUCCGUGAUGCUUGCCAGUGUACAAACUGAUUGUCACCUAUCCGUCCCGUCUUGAAACACGGACCAAGGAGUUUAUCGCAUAUGCGAGUUAUUGGGUGAUGAAAACCUAAUGGCGUAAUGAAAGUAAAGGUUUCGCUUGCGGAGCUGAUAUGUGAUCCGGGUGCCUUUCGAGGCUUCGGCGCAGCAUAGCCCCAUCUCUAAUGCUUGCAUUGGGGUGGAGGAAGAGCAUAUACGAUGAGACCCGAAAGAUGGUGAACUAUGCCUGGGCAGGAUGAAGCCGGAGGAAACUCUGGUGGAAGUCCGUAGCGGUUCUGACGUGCAAAUCGAUCGUCUGACCUGGGUAUAGGGGCGAAAGACUAAUCGAACCAUCUAG